Molecule: ribosomal RNA, 301 nt
Filed under: uncultured bacterium
Lineage: Bacteria
Description: partial 16S ribosomal RNA
Rfam family: Bacterial small subunit ribosomal RNA
Source: RNAcentral
CAGCCGCCACGGUAAUACAGAGGGUGGGAGCGUUAAUCGGAUUUACUGGGCGUAAAGCGUGCGUAGGCGGCUUCUUAAGUCGGAUGUGAAAUCCCUGAGCUUAACUUAGGAAUUGCAUUCGAUACUGGGAAGCUAGAGUAUGGGAGAGGAUGGUAGAAUUCCAGGUGUAGCGGUGAAAUGCGUAGAGAUCUGGAGGAAUACCGAUGGCGAAGGCAGCCAUCUGGCCUAAUACUGACGCUGAGGUACGAAAGCAUGGGGAGCAAACAGGAUUAGAUACCCUGUAGUCCCUGUCUCUUAUACA